Molecule: microRNA, 21 nt
Filed under: Salicornia europaea (common glasswort)
Lineage: Eukaryota; Viridiplantae; Streptophyta; Magnoliopsida; Caryophyllales; Amaranthaceae
Description: seu-miR11040
Source: miRBase by way of RNAcentral
AACAAUUGUCAUGACACGGAC